CAUGCAGUCGAACGGUGAAGCAGGAGCUUGCUCUUGUGGAUCAGUGGCGAACGGGUGAGUAACACGUGAGCAACCUGCCCCGGACUCUGGGAUAAGCGCUGGAAACGGCGUCUAAUACUGGAUACGAGUAGCGACCGCAUGGUCAGCUAUUGGAAAGAAUUUCGGUCUGGGAUGGGCUCGCGGCCUAUCAGCUUGUUGGUGAGGUAAUGGCUCACCAAGGCGUCGACGGGUAGCCGGCCUGAGAGGGUGACCGGCCACACUGGGACUGAGACACGGCCCAGACUCCUACGGGAGGCAGCAGUGGGGAAUAUUGCACAAUGGGCGCAAGCCUGAUGCAGCAACGCCGCGUGAGGGAUGACGGCCUUCGGGUUGUAAACCUCUUUUAGUAGGGAAGAAGCGAAAGUGACGGUACCUGCAGAAAAAGCGCCGGCUAACUACGUGCCAGCAGCCGCGGUAAUACGUAGGGCGCAAGCGUUAUCCGGAAUUAUUGGGCGUAAAGAGCUCGUAGGCGGUUUGUCGCGUCUGCUGUGAAAUCUGGGGGCUCAACCCCCAGCCUGCAGUGGGUACGGGCAGACU
RNAcentral lists this ribosomal RNA (576 nucleotides) under Microbacterium keratanolyticum. Its description in RNAcentral is "bacterial SSU rRNA". It matches the Rfam family "Bacterial small subunit ribosomal RNA", at positions 54 to 642 of the family's 1533-position model. The record is from RNAcentral. Lineage: Bacteria; Bacillati; Actinomycetota; Actinomycetes; Micrococcales; Microbacteriaceae.